CCACGGGGGGCUGCAGUGGGGAAUAUUGGACAAUGGGCGAAAGCCUGAUCCAGCCAUGCCGCGUGUGUGAAGAAGGCCUUCGGGUUGUAAAGCACUUUCAGUGGGGAAGAAAGCCUUGGGGCUAAUACCCUCGAGGAAGGACAUCACCCACAGAAGAAGCACCGGCUAACUCCGUGCCAGCAGCCGCGGUAAUACGGAGGGUGCGAGCGUUAAUCGGAAUUACUGGGCGUAAAGCGCGCGUAGGCGGUCUGAUAAGCCGGUUGUGAAAGCCCCGGGCUCAACCUGGGAACGGCAUCCGGAACUGUCAGGCUAGAGUGCAGGAGAGGAAGGGAGAAUUCCCGGUGUAGCGGUGAAAUGCGUAGAGAUCGGGAGGAAUACCAGUGGCGAAGGCGGCCUUCUGGACUGACACUGACGCUGAGGUGCGAAAGCGUGGGUAGCAAACAGGAUUAGAUACCCUAGUAGUC
This 464-nucleotide ribosomal RNA is filed under the name Vreelandella stevensii. Its description in RNAcentral is "partial 16S ribosomal RNA". It matches the Rfam family "Bacterial small subunit ribosomal RNA", at positions 339 to 795 of the family's 1533-position model. Lineage: Bacteria; Pseudomonadati; Pseudomonadota; Gammaproteobacteria; Oceanospirillales; Halomonadaceae. The record is from RNAcentral.